GGUUGACCUGAGAACACACUUUGAGAUAGCCCGCUCCUAGACCUGGAAUUUCCUUUCCUUCACAUAGAGAGAAGAAGAUCACAGGGGAGAAUAGAAAAGAGAUGAUGAGCUCAGAGUUGGAGAUAUUAACCAACUUGGCUGAAGUUUGGAUACUCAACACGGGCAGAGCAUCUUCCUUAGAAGGAUAAACUAAGAAAAAAAAACAGUUUGGAACUUGAGUCUGGAAACUGUAGGCUCAGAGGAGAGAUGAUCCAGGAACAUAAAGUCAUGGAUGUACACUGCGACUAGAUUUUGGAGUAUGAGAACCAGGAGUGCAGAAAAGGCCUGAAGAACCUUGAGAGCCCAGACACUGAUUUUCCAGAGAAGGACACACAUCCUUUUGAAACUUGAGAACAAGCAUAAGUAAAUAAAAUGGGAUGCGAUUUGCCGCAGAGAGCUCACCUUGGAGCUUCCUUUGCUGAGAGAAGACAGAAGCUGAAAAAAGUUUCAUGCAACGGAUGUAGUGCCUUAGUGAAAUGGCUCACCUUUUGAAAUGGAGCUAUCAAAUUGGUGGCAUUGCCAAUAAAGAUUAAGUGUUCAGAGGAGGAGUAAGUAUCUUGAAGUGGAGAUUGAAAUUGAUUCGUGGAAGAGAUGCUCUCAGCUGGAAAGAAAGGGGAUUCUCAUGGUUCAAAGUGACUACUGGAGCUUCAGCUGUUAAGUUCAUAUUCCAGCCAGUAGAAAGGAGAAGAGAAGGAGAAGGAGAAUGAUAUGCUUCCUGCCUUUAAGGAUGCUCCCUGGAAGCUGUACAAUCAACUUCUGCCUCUAACGUAUGGGCCACAGAGGUCCUUGUCUACACCAUUGGAUUUAGCUCCAAAUCCAGUCUAUCUUGCCCUGUUUACUGUGGACUCAUGCAUGCUAGUCCAACUACAUUAACCGAAAUAAAUUUAAAGUAUGUGAUAUGGGCAGCUUCAAAGGAAAAGAAGUUACCAAAAGAGAAAGAGGAAGAGACUGGAGAGAAGAUGGCGAUGGUGCAUGCUUGUGUGGCACUGUGUUUAUCUGGAGAAGCAUUAAAAAAAGAAUAUGGGAAGAAUCAGUUGAUGAGUCUGACAUGGAAAGAAGCUUCGGGAAGCAGCCAUCAACCAGAGAGGAGGGAACAAAAAUAAGGGUUUGUGGAUGAGGGAGAAAAUAUUCCUAGUGAUGUGAAUUAGCAAUGAAGAAUCCAUCCUGAAGCAGGGCUUAGGUGUAUCUGUGAAACACAAUUACAUAACAAAACCAUUAAAAG
Molecule: long non-coding RNA, 1261 nt
Filed under: Equus asinus (donkey)
Lineage: Eukaryota; Metazoa; Chordata; Mammalia; Perissodactyla; Equidae
Description: lncRNA (ENSEASG00005024033.1)
Source: RNAcentral